AAUUUAGCGAUGAUGAGAAGAGUAGAUUGACUGCGUUUUUUCCAGAGAGCUUCGGCAGCUGAAAAGAAGCAAAAAUGCGCAAUCGAAAAUGGCCUCGGAGCUUCGCGUUGAACCUUCCGUUUGGAACCAGUAGAAUGCGACAAGAGUUGGCACUUGUUAUCAAAGCCACAGUACAGGAGCAGAAGCUUUGUACUGACUGAGGCUGCUGGCGUGAGUUGGCAGCAAAUUAAAGUGGAACCGCGAGUGAACCUCGCCUUUAUU
Molecule: non-coding RNA, 261 nt
Filed under: Planococcus glaciei
Lineage: Bacteria; Bacillati; Bacillota; Bacilli; Caryophanales; Caryophanaceae
Description: Planomicrobium glaciei T-box sequence
Rfam family: T-box leader
About the family: Uncharged tRNA acts as the effector for transcription antitermination of genes in the T-box leader family.
Source: RNAcentral